CUCUGUUCAUUUUUGUUUUUUCUCUCUGUUCUUCAGCUUGUGUAAUCUCCUGUGAUCUGUGUUCAAGCUCACUAGUUCUGCCAGUUCAGAUCUUCUGUUCACCCCCUCUAGUGAAUUUAUAAUUUCUGUCCUCUAUUGAUAUUCUCUAUUUGAUGUGACCUUGUCAUCAAACCAUCCCUUCUUUAAUUGUGCUUUCCCUCGGUUCUGUGCAUGUGUUUAUAACAGCUGCCUUGCAGUCCUUUCUGUUAACUAUGGCAUCUGCUCCCUCUCACAGGCAGUUUCUAUCACCUGCUUUUUUACCGGUGGUGUGCGAGUCAUGUUUUCCUGUUUCUGUGUGUGCUUUGUAAUUUUUUGUGGGAAAGUGGACAUUUUAGAUAAAAUAUUUAACAACGCUGGGUCCUGGCCCAACCCCUCUCCUCACUGGGGCUUGUUUUUGUUGCUUGCUUGUUUAGUGACUGGCUGGAUUAUCUUGGUGAAGUCUAUUCCUCUUCCCCUGCAUUGCUCAGCCUCUGAUGCUUUCCUCAGGGAGGUGCGUGAGAAUGCCCACAGUCACCCUUGCCCGUGGUCAUUAGACCCAUGUGUCUCCUCCCUGCCACCUCUCACCACAACCUCCGCGGUUCUGGAGAACACCGUCAGGUUUAAACUUCCAAGGUUCUGCUGCAGGUGAAGUCAGUUCCUAUGGGAAGAGAUCAGGAACUUCUCCCACAGGCAAUAUCUCUGAGCCAGGGCCCGAUGGCAAGCUUCUGAGAGACACCUCCAAUCUAGGAGCUGAGCCCUCAGUGGGUGGGGGCAGCAGCCUCUCCUGGCACGGACUCACUUCCCCGUGAGCUGGGAGGGGAGUGCCAGUAUUCUCAGCAUGCCAGGCCCAAGGCAGAGGCUCCUCCCACAAGUGGGGGCUGAGCAGAAGAAGGGAGCCCCACCUCUCAGCCAUACCUGCCUAGGACUCAGCCUCAGCAACAGGUUUCUGGGGGCAGGAUAAGAAGUGCUGAAGUCAUCCGGGGAAGAAAGUUCUGUGACUGGAGGCAGGGGCGGGGCCUGAGGGGACCCUAUGUUCUUAUGUUGAAAAGAGCGGUGAGAGUAGACAUCCUUGCCUUGUUCCCAAUCUUAGGGAGAAGCUUCCAGUCUUUGACCAUCAAGUAUGAUGUUAGCUGUGGGCUUUUGUAUAUGAUCUUGGUCAAGUUUAUUUCAACUUGCUGAGAAGUUUUUUAAAAUGUAGGGGCCGGCCCAGUGGCUUAGUGGUUAAGUUCAGCAUGGUCUGCUUCAGUGGCCCAAGGUUUGCGGGUUGGGAUCCUGGGCGCAGACCUACACCACUCAUCAAGCCAGGCUGUGACAGCAACACACAUUCAAACUAGAGGAAGAUUGGCACAGAUGUUAGCUCAGGGCCAAUCUUCCUCACCAAAAAAGAAAAAACCUAAAUGGCUGUUGGAUUAUGUCAAAUGCUUUUUCUGUAUCAGUUACAUUAUCAUAUAGUUUUUCUUUAGUCUGUUGGUAUGCUGGGUUACAUUGAUUUUCAAGUGUUGAACCACCCUUGCAUACCUGGAAUAAAUUGCAUUUGGUUGUGGGGUAUAAUUCUUUUUAUACAUUGUUGGAUUUGAUUUUCCAAUAUUUUAUUGAGAAAUAAAAUAAAAUAAAAACUUGUCCCU
Molecule: long non-coding RNA, 1643 nt
Filed under: Equus caballus (horse)
Lineage: Eukaryota; Metazoa; Chordata; Mammalia; Perissodactyla; Equidae
Description: lncRNA (ENSECAG00000044144.1)
Source: RNAcentral